UGGGUUAUAGUUCAGUGGUAGAGUGCUUGCUUACCAUUUACUUGUACUAAUAGGUUCAAAUCCUAUUAGUACAA
This 74-nucleotide transfer RNA is filed under the name Ictidomys tridecemlineatus (thirteen-lined ground squirrel). RNAcentral describes it as "Spermophilus tridecemlineatus (thirteen-lined ground squirrel) tRNA". It matches the Rfam family "tRNA". From Rfam's summary of the family: Transfer RNA (tRNA) molecules are approximately 80 nucleotides in length. Their secondary structure includes four short double-helical elements and three loops (D, anti-codon, and T loops). Lineage: Eukaryota; Metazoa; Chordata; Mammalia; Rodentia; Sciuridae. The record is from Rfam by way of RNAcentral.